RNAcentral lists this ribosomal RNA (483 nucleotides) under uncultured bacterium. RNAcentral describes it as "partial 16S ribosomal RNA". It matches the Rfam family "Bacterial small subunit ribosomal RNA", at positions 30 to 507 of the family's 1533-position model. The record is from RNAcentral.
UUGAACGCUGGCGGCAGGCCUCACCCCUGCCAGUCGAGCGGAUGAAGGGAGCUUGCUCCUGGAUUCAGCGGCGGACGGGUGAGUAAUGCCUAGGAAUCUGCCUGGUAGUGGGGGAUAACGUCCGGAAACGGGCGCUAAUACCGCAUACGUCCUGAGGGAGAAAGUGGGGGAUCUUCGGACCUCACGCUAUCAGAUGAGCCUAGGUCGGAUUAGCUAGUUGGUGGGGUAAAGGCCUACCAAGGCGACGAUCCGUAACUGGUCUGAGAGGAUGAUCAGUCACACUGGAACUGAGACACGGUCCAGACUCCUACGGGAGGCAGCAGUGGGGAAUAUUGGACAAUGGGCGAAAGCCUGAUCCAGCCAUGCCGCGUGUGUGAAGAAGGUCUUCGGAUUGUAAAGCACUUUAAGUUGGGAGGAAGGGCAGUAAGUUAAUACCUUGCUGUUUUGACGUUACCAACAGAAUAAGCACCGGCUAACUUCGUG